CUUAAAUUGAAGAGUUUGAUCAUGGCUCAGAUUGAACGCUGGCGGCAGGCCUAACACAUGCAAGUCGAGCGGAAACGACAACAUUGAAUCUUCGGAGGAUUUGUUGGGCGUCGAGCGGCGGACGGGUGAGUAAUGCCUAGGAAAUUGCCUUG
RNAcentral lists this ribosomal RNA (152 nucleotides) under Vibrio tasmaniensis. RNAcentral describes it as "partial 16S ribosomal RNA". It matches the Rfam family "Bacterial small subunit ribosomal RNA", at positions 1 to 133 of the family's 1533-position model. The record is from RNAcentral. Lineage: Bacteria; Pseudomonadati; Pseudomonadota; Gammaproteobacteria; Vibrionales; Vibrionaceae.